GACGAACGCUGGCGGCGUGCUUAACACAUGCAAGUCGAACGGAAAGGCCCUGCUUUUGUGAGGUGCUCGAGUGGCGAACGGGUGAGUAACACGUGAGUAACCUGCCCUUGACUUUGGGAUAACUUCAGGAAACUGGGGCUAAUACCGGAUAGGAGCUCCUGCUGCAUGGUGGGGGUUGGAAAGUUUCGGCGGUUGGGGAUGGACUCGCGGCUUAUCAGCUUGUUGGUGGGGUAGUGGCUUACCAAGGCUUUGACGGGUAGCCGGCCUGAGAGGGUGACCGGCCACAUGAGGACUGAGAUACGGCCCAGACUCCUACGGGAGGCAGCAGUGGGGAAUAUUGCGCAAUGGGCGGGAGCCUGAUGCAGCGACGCCGCGUGCGGAAUGACGGCCUUCGGGUUGUAAACCGCUUUCGCCUGUGACGAAGCGUGAGUGACGAUAAUGGGUAAAGAAGCACCGGCUAACUACGUG
This 468-nucleotide ribosomal RNA is filed under the name uncultured bacterium. RNAcentral describes it as "partial 16S ribosomal RNA". It matches the Rfam family "Bacterial small subunit ribosomal RNA", at positions 28 to 507 of the family's 1533-position model. The record is from RNAcentral.